This is a non-coding RNA of Ciona savignyi (Pacific transparent sea squirt), 119 nucleotides long. The record is from Rfam. NCBI's taxonomy places the organism in Eukaryota, Metazoa, Chordata, Ascidiacea, Phlebobranchia, Cionidae.
GCUUAUCACCAUUCCAGAUUGAAUAUACCCGAUCUCGUUUGAUCUCGGAAGUCAAGCAAUCUCUGGAUUGGUUAGUACUUGGAUGGGUAACCGCUUGGGAAUACCAAGUGUGAUAAGCA